RNAcentral lists this transfer RNA (73 nucleotides) under Streptococcus sp. RNAcentral describes it as "tRNA-Met". It matches the Rfam family "tRNA". From Rfam's summary of the family: Transfer RNA (tRNA) molecules are approximately 80 nucleotides in length. Their secondary structure includes four short double-helical elements and three loops (D, anti-codon, and T loops). Lineage: Bacteria; Bacillati; Bacillota; Bacilli; Lactobacillales; Streptococcaceae. The record is from RNAcentral.
UGCGCGGUAGUAGCAGUGGUAGCUCGCCAGGCUCAUAACCUGGAGGUCGGGGGUUCGAAUCCCUCCUGCGCAA